GAGUUAGUCAUGAUUAUAAAAAUAAUUUUUCGUUCUGACUUGCUUAAUUUGGGCAUUACAAACUUUUUAUUACAACCAUAGAGUCUUAGCUAC
This 93-nucleotide small nucleolar RNA is filed under the name Theobroma cacao (cacao). Its description in RNAcentral is "Small nucleolar RNA snoR8a". It matches the Rfam family "Small nucleolar RNA snoR8a". The record is from Rfam by way of RNAcentral. Lineage: Eukaryota; Viridiplantae; Streptophyta; Magnoliopsida; Malvales; Malvaceae.